UAGUCAUUUCUUGUUUUAUUAGGAAGAAUCCAUGAACUGCUGUAGAAAGAGGAGUCUGCAGCUUACUCUUCCCAUGGCAGGUGCUCAACAGAACAGGAGGAUACAUUUGGACAGACCAUGGAGCCUCCAUUUCUUUUGGCCCAGCCUGAGGCUCAGCUGAAAUAAAGCUUUCCUCUGGCUCUUGGAAAAGAUGAACUGAAUUUCCUCUUCUUGUGCUUCCUCCACAGGGAGGUGACUAUGGCUGUGGGUGCUGGCUCAGACUGGGCGAGUGAAUAUUCUCCUGUUGAAGUGUUUGGAAGAACAGGCCUGGAGCAGGGGGAAGCCAAUGGAUUCUGGGGUGCUCAUUCAGUGGGGCACUGCUCUGACCACUCCAAGCCUUCACCCGUUGCUUUUGAAAUGAGAAUUGUUUUAAAAAAUGGAAGAGAGAAGUUGAGAGGAAAACAUUUCAUCUACUUUUAUUUCUGCACUAGGGGUAAAUAUCCUUUCAUGUAUGUCGUUUUCUAGGAUGAUAUGUAUAAGGAUUGUCGGUUUGGCCCAGCCCUGCUCAACAUUGACAAACAGGCCGAGACUAGAGGAA
This 577-nucleotide long non-coding RNA is filed under the name Ictidomys tridecemlineatus (thirteen-lined ground squirrel). RNAcentral's name for it is "lncRNA (ENSSTOG00000033924.1)". Lineage: Eukaryota; Metazoa; Chordata; Mammalia; Rodentia; Sciuridae. The record is from RNAcentral.